RNAcentral lists this long non-coding RNA (16083 nucleotides) under Brassica napus (rape). RNAcentral's name for it is "long non-coding RNA (BNAP_LNC004850)". Lineage: Eukaryota; Viridiplantae; Streptophyta; Magnoliopsida; Brassicales; Brassicaceae. The record is from RNAcentral.
GUUGCUAGCUUUUUUUUUCAGACCCAUUGAAGCAAAAGAUUCUUGACUGGAAGACACGGUUGAACAUAAUGGAAGGAAUAUGCAGAGGUCUUUUGUAUCUUCACAGAGAUUCAAGACUAAAGAUCAUACACAGAGAUCUAAAAGCUAGCAACAUUUUGUUAGAUGACAAUCUGAAUCCCAAAAUAUCUGAUUUUGGGCUUGCAAGAGUUUUCCGAGCUAAUGAAGAUGAAGCUAACACAAGAAGGGUUGUAGGAACUUAGUAAGUAUCCCAUUCCCAAUAUACAAGAACACAUAUUUUGAAAACCAUCAUAACCAUUUGUUAUUGCAGCGGCUACAUGUCACCGGAAUAUGCAAUGGAAGGUUUAUUUUCAGAAAAGUCAGACGUUUUCAGCUUGGGGGUUAUACUUUUAGAGAUCAUAAGUGGGAGAAGAAUCUCUCACAAGGAAGAAAAUAAUCUAAACCUUUUGGCAUAUGUAAGUGUGUACUGUUUAGUAACUUUACUAGCUUUGAAUCUUACCAGUAAUAUGGUCUUUUUACAGGCGUGGAAGCUUUGGAAUGAGGGUGAGGCUGCUUCUCUAGCAGAUCCAAGCGUCUUUGAUGAGUCUUUCGAGAAAGAGAUAACGAAAUGUGUUCAGAUUGGUUUGUUGUGUGUGCAAGAAGUUGCUAACGAUAGACCGAAUGUUUCAACCGUGAUUUGGAUGCUAACCACCGAAAACACGAACCUCAAAGAGCCGAAGCAGCCUGCGAUUAUAGCAAGAAGAGGAGCUUCUGAGGCUGAAUCUUCUGACCAGAGUAGUCAAAAGGUCUCUAUCAAUGAUGUGAGUCUCACAGCUGUAACAGGGCGCUAAGCUCACAGAGCUAAUAUUUUUGUUUAUAUAAUGUAUGUUUUGAGAAUCACAUAUGCUUGCAAAUUGUGUUAUUCUGUGCAUGUUUAAUAGUUUGGUUAAAUAAUACUCUCCCAGUUUCAAAAUAAUAUAUAUUUUAGAGUUUUCACACUUAUUAAGAAAACACGUAAAAUAUGGAUCUCUUAGAAACAAUUUUUUUUUCUAAAAUAUGGAUCAUUCUGAAAUGGAAGAGUAAAAAAAUGUAUUUUCAGGGAAGUUAUGUUUAGAUUCAUUUAGCAUAGACUUGUUAUCAUUACCUCAGUUAAAAACACAUAAUGUGAAACUGAGCUGUGGUGAUAGUUACAAAUUUACAAUAGAUUCUAGUACUGUAAGUCUGUAACUUGACCUACUCUUAGAUGAAUUAAUUAACUUGGAUGAAGAAACUGAACGUGUAACAUGUUCUUGACUCUUGAGAAGCCACAGACAGUAAGUUUUGUCUUGAAAAGAUUCUCCUUAUCUUGCUUUUCUUCUUCUUUUUCUUUUUUUUUUUAUUUCUUAUUGGAAUCUCCAAUAAUGAUGCCUGCUUGAAUGUCAUUGGUCUAUGUGAUUUUAGUGCUAGUCUUCAAAGGCAUAUUCAUGGAUGGCGGCCAUGUUUUAUUGCCUUGAUGGGUAAUAAAAGAGUAGAUCAUUGCCUAUCGUCUCUCUUAUAAAAUAUUUGUUGAGACAUGGUAACAUAGUGGUGAAGCUGGAGGAAUAAUGCAGUUAGUAUGUAUGUCGCCAUUGCAACUUGACAGAGUUCUGGCAUCUUAACAGUAUGUGAAAGAGCUAAACACAAUUUCUAAAACAUAGUCAUCACUAGAAUAGUUUGCAUGUGACUUUACAGAAAGACAAAGAACAUCAAGUUGAUUGAGAGGGAUGGUAACUUAUGACCUUUCACCACUCAAUAACAAAAUCGCUAGACUUACUAUGUUGAAGUCACUGCCCAUUAUGUCCCACUACGACAGAACCAAAAAUCUUCCUUGAAAGAUUAAAACAUCAGCACUUUCCUCUUCUUAAGUCUUCUUAUAGAGACAAAGACCACCACUAUAUUAACUUACCUCUCGUACACUAUAUCUUACAAAGAGAAACAACAAAGCAAAACUAGAACUUCUCUGUUUCACUUAGUAGUUAUGGUGGUUCUACUGAACUCACAUCCUUGUUUUGUUCUUCUUCUUCUUCUUGCAGCAUUCUCUUGCUUCUCUCUGAGGUUAUGUUUCGGCGAAGACAGACUCACCUUCUCAACUCCGAGCAAAGACUCAGAGUCAAAGACACUUCUAUGCAAAAAGGGCAUUUUCAGGUUUGGUUUCUUCACUCCUGCAAACUCCACUUCUCGCUUACGUUAUGUUGGGAUUUGGUACGACAAGAUUCCAGUUCAAACAGUGGUCUGGGUCGCCAACAGAGACGCUCCCAUCAACGACACUUCCGGUGUUGUUUCCAUCUCUGACGACGGAAACCUCGUGGUUACCGAUGGUAGAAACCGCAGUAUAUGGUCGACCAACGUCACAGUACCAGUAGCUCCAAAUGCCACUUGGGUUCAGCUAAUGGAAAACGGGAAUCUUAGGCUACAAGACAACAGAAACAACGGCGAGAUCAUAUGAGAGAGUUCCAAGCACCCCUAUAGCUCUGUGUUGCCAAGAAUGAGUCUCUUGACCAACAGUAAAACCGGAGAAAACAUCGGUCUUACUUCUUGGAGAAACUAUACUGAUCCUUCAACAGGGAACUACACAGUUGGCCUUGUCGCUUUCCCGUUUCCCGAGCUUCUAAUCUGGAAGAACAAGGUUCCACAGUGGCGUAGCGGUCCCUGGAAUGGUCAGGUUUUCAUCGGUUUACCGGAUAUGGAUUCUCUCCUCAACAUUGAUGGUUUUAACCUCAACAAUGAUAACCAAGGAACGGUUUCGUUGAGCUAUGCUAAUGACUCCUUCAUGUAUCACUUCAACUUGGAUCCUAAUGGAGCUAUAUAUCAAAGAGACUGGAGUACUUCUAUGAAUGACUGGCGAGUCGGUGUUCGGUUCCCAUCUACAGACUGUGAUGAAUACAGUAGAUGUGGUCCUUAUGGGAGCUGCAAUUACCGGGAAGAUCCACAGUGCAAGUGCAUACAAGGUUUUGUGCCGAGGAAUAGCACAGAGUGGAGUGGAGGAAACUGGAUUAAUGGAUGUGUGAGAAGAGCUCCAUUAAGGUGUGAAAGGGUUAGAAAUGGAAGUAGUAAUGGAGGAAAAGAAGAUUGGUUUUUGAAAGUGCAGAAGAUGAAAGUACCUGUCAAUGUGCAACCGUCUUUAGCUAAUGCGCAAGCUUGUCCUAAGGUUUGUUUAGAUAACUGUUCUUGCACAGCUUAUGCAUAUGAUCAAGGCAUUGGAUGCAUGCUUUGGAGCGGUAGCUUGGUUGAUAUGCAAUCUUUCUUGGGAAGUGGCAUUGAUCUUUAUAUUCGACUCUCGCAUUCUGAACUCAGUGAGUAAAAAAAAAACUCUACUAAUCUCACAUUUAUUCAUCUUCAUUGACUAAUGACAUCUCACCAAAAUCUUGUAGAAGCACAUAGCAAGAGAGCAGUAAUGAUCACAGCACUUGUGCUAGGCGUUGUGUUUGUUUCUGCGGUCUGCUUUCUUUUAGCAUGCCUGAAACUCAAAAAGCGUCCAGGUUAGAGUUUUCUUUACUCUUGCUUGAGAUUUUUCCUUUUAUAAAAGUUUGUUUGCAUCUACAAUCACUGCCUUAGGAGAACCAAAGAAAGAUAGAAGCGUAGAGCAAUUGUUAAAGAGAAUGGAAGAAGUUAACAGUGGUGAUGAGCCUGCUUCUAACCAAGUUAAGCUAGAGGAACUUCCGCUCUUUGAGUUUCAAGUGUUAGCUACAGCAACUGAUGACUUCUCUCUCAGAAGCAAGCUCGGACAAGGCGGAUUUGGUCCUGUUUACAAGGUGAAGACACUUAAAAAAAAACACUUUCUGAAAAGAGAUUUUUGUAUAAAAUCUCAUAUUAAUAUUUUUUUUUCUUCAGGGAAAAUUACCUGAAGGGCAAGAAAUAGCAGUGAAGAGGCUCUCAAGGGCAUCAGGACAAGGACUUGAGGAGCUUAUGAACGAAGUGGUUGUCAUUUCGAAGUUGCAACAUAGGAAUCUGGUGAAGUUACUUGGCUGUUGCAUUGAAGGUGAAGAAAGGUUGCUAGUCUACGAAUAUAUGCCAAAGAAAAGCUUGGAUGCCUAUCUAUUUGGUAAAAUGAUCUCCUCUCUUUUGUUCUUACUUAGGAAAGCUAAUGAUUUUGUAAGCUCUUUCUUCAGACCCUUUGAAGCAAAAGAUUCUUGACUGGAAGACACGGUUGAACAUAAUGGAAGGAAUAUGCAGGGGUCUUCUGUACCUUCACAGAGAUUCAAGACUAAGGAUCAUACACAGAGAUCUAAAAGCCAGCAACAUUUUGUUAGAUGACAACAUGAAUCCCAAAAUAUCUGAUUUCGGGCUUGCAAGAGUUUUCCUAGCGAAUGAAGAUGAAGCUAACACAAGAAGGGUUGUAGGAACAUAGUAAGUAUCCAUUCCCAUUAUACACAACAAGAAGGGUUAUCAUAUCAUAUAACUAUUUGUUAUUGCAGCGGCUAUAUGUCACCAGAAUAUGCAAUGGAAGGCUUAUUUUCAGAAAAAUCAGACGUUUUCAGCUUGGGGGUUAUACUUUUAGAGAUCAUAAGUGGGAAAAAAAACUCUCACAAGGAAGAUAAUUAUCCAAACCUUUUAGCUUAUGUAAGUGUGUACUAAUAAUCAGUGUUUAGUAACUUUUAUAGCUUUUAAACUUUACCUGUAAAUUUGAUAUUCUUACAGGUGUGGACGCUGUGGAAUGAGGGAGAGGCUGCUUCUCUAGCAGAUCCAAACGUCUUUGAUGAGUCUUUCGAGAAAGAGAUAACAAAAUGUGUUCAGAUUGGUUUGUUGUGUGUGCAAGAAGUUGCUGACGAUCGACCUAAUGUUUCAACCGUGAUUUGGAUGCUAACCACCGAGAACAUGAACCUCCCCGAGCCGAAUCAGCCUGCGUUUAUAACAAGAAGAGAAAAGUCUGAGGGUGAAUCUUCUGACCAGAGUAGUCAGAAGGUCUCUAUCAAUGAUGUGAGCCUCACAUCUGUUACAGGGCGUUAAGAACAUAAAGCCAAUCUGAUUAUGUAUAACUAAAAAGGUUUGAAUAAGUUUGGCGAAUAAUUAAGUGUGUUGAUUAUAAUGUGGAGUGUUAUAAGUCAAUAUAGACAUUAUGAUGUGUGUUGAAUAAAAUGUGUGGAGUGUUAUAAGUCAAUAUAAAAUAGACAUUAUGAUGAAUGUUGAAUAAGUUGUAAAAAUCUAGAAAAUAUGUAUGUUUAUAUAAAAUAUCUGGUUUGGGAAACUCCUACGUUUGAAAAUUUUAUUAUUCUGCGCAUGCUUAAUGGUUAGAUUAAAGAACAAGAGAUGUAUAUCUGAGAAGUUAAGUUCAGAUUUGGUCUUAUGACCUCACUAAAAUCACUUCAAUAGUUUCUAGUACUGAAACUUAACUAACCUGGAUGAAGAAGCUGAAAAGGAGAAAGAACAUAAACCACAUAUGUUCUUGAGAAGCCUGUUUUUUUUUCUUGAGAAGCCACACUAUUAUGGUUUUGUGUGUUUGGGUUGCUUUGCUAUGUAUAUAUAUAGUGAAAUGAACGAACCUGGAUAGUUUGGAAUUGUGGAUAAGAUCAGUUUUGACCUUUCAUAAUUCCAUUAAAUACAUAACAACAUCUUUGACUCUUCUGCAGAAAUUUUAUUAUAGUGAAGCCAAGAAAGAAAUUUCCUCUCUCUUUUUCUUCUUCUUUCUUUGUAAGAAAUUUAACGACCUUGAACAUCGGUGAAGGUAACGUCAUUAACAGAACUACCCGGCUCUGCAAUGAGCAAAGAAACAAUUUCGCGGCCUCUCCUUCUCACGGAAGUAAACGAAGGAAGCUUCGGAUUUGGAAGAUCAAUAGCGUUUUGACCCAACAUGAUGAGAACAGAGGACAUAUCUCCUCUGUCCGAAGCGUUUUUUUGCACGCAAAGCAACCCAAUGUGUAUGCACUUCACCACUUCGCUCUCGUUAUAAGUCCCUUGAUCCAUAAAGUUGUCUAUGAUGUCUUUUGCUUCACCUUUUUCCCAUAGAUCCCAAAUCUACAAAGAUGAAAAAAACAAACAUCUUCCCUACCUUAUAAAUAAAGAGAUUUAUAAAAACUGAAAAACUUAUGAAAAAGAUGAAUUUGUUUCACUGAACUUUCAUUUCAUUCAUUACCUCAACGAUUACAACCUAGUUUAGUAUAUUUAUGCUAGAGAGUGAAAACCGUAGCUCACUAGACAGAUGGCUCAAUCCUGAUCCUUAAGAGAAUCGAGGGCUGUAAAUUGGUUAAGACCACCGAAGAUGGACUCUUCUUUGUCUCGUCUUGGCCCAUCUUCGCUUUACCUUUCUGAUCCUGAGCCAAAGCUGCGUCGUUUUGAGUCAUGCUCUGUUUGCUCUGUUUAACAAUAAACAGGUCCGAAACCACCAGCUCCAAGCUUGUUAUGGGAAGAGAAGUUAUCAGUGGCUGCCGCGAUCGUUAAUGGUUUGAUUAAAGAAUCAGGGAAGUUAUGUUCGGAUUCAUCUAGUACAGACUUGGUAUUGUUACCUCAGCUAAAAAACCUUAUGUGAAACUGAGGUGUGUUAGUUAUAAUAAAUUCUAGUACUGAAACUUGACCUACUCUUAAAUGAAUUAAUUAACCUUGAUGGAGAAACUGAACCUGUUGGAAAGGGAGAAAAACAAAACCGAAUUAUGUUCUUGACUCUUGAGAUGACACAGUAGGCUUUGUCUUCUUCCUACUUUUCUAAAUUUUUUUUAUUGUUAGAGAAGUUAUGUUCAGAUUCAUCUAGUACAGACUUUGUACUCUUUACCUCAGUUAAAAACACCUAAUGUGAAACUGAGCUGUGUUGGUAGUUACAAUAAAUUCUAGUGCUGAAACUUGACCUACUCUUAGAUGAAUUAACUAACCUUGAUGGGAAUGGAACCGAAACAUGUUCUUGACUCUUGAGAAGCCACAGUAGAUUUUUUUCUUGAAAUGAUUCUACUUAUCUUGCUUUCCUUCUUCUUCUUUUUCCUUUUCAAUUUUUUUAUUGUUAGCUGUGUGAAAAGCUCCAAUAACGUUGCCUGCUUAAAUUUGAAUGUACCUACAUAGAGAGCACCUUUUUUCUCUCGUUUAGAAUCCCGAGGUAGGGCAAGUGGCUGGGAAGUGUUUUCCCCUUUGGCAUCGUAACCGUCCGUUUGGAAAAAUAUCCCUCCGUAUUCAAUCUAAGUCGUUCAACUUAGGGUUCUACAAGGAAAAAGUGGAGAAAAUCUGUGUUUCAAUCCAAAGGUGAAAUCGAAGAAGAAGUGGGUGAAUCUACAAUCUAGCAAGCGGAGAUCGAGUUGGUAGUGAAACUGUGUUCUGAAAGAAGAAGUGUGAAGAAAGAAGAUGACAGGAGUGUUAGAUAAAGCUUUGUUGGAUUUGUCUUUGGAGGAAGAUGAUGAGCCGUAUGUGAUGCCUGACAGACCGGAGUAUUACGCAACGGACCGUAACUCUAUGAGCCUCAUCGGAAGGCUCCUAAACCCCCAGUGCCAAAAAAUGUCAGAUCUGAUACUGGAUAUGCCUCGCAAAUGGCAACUGUACGAUAGGGUUAAAGGUGUGGCGCUGUCAAAGGAUAGAUUUCAGUUCAUAUUCAAAUAUGAAAGAGACCUGCUUGAUGUGCUCAACAGGGGUCUGCACACUAGCAACAUGUGGUCGAUUGUCCUGGAGCGAUGGGUGGAGAAACCACCGGAAGACUACCUUCAGUACUUGUAUGUAUGGGUCCAGAUGAGAAAUGUUCCUGUAAAUCACUAUACUCCUGGGGCUAUUCAUGAUCUUGGUAGGUUUGCGGGAGAGGUUGUUGAUGUGCCUUUUGAUCCCGAGAAGGCGCAAACCAAAGAUUAUGUUCGAGUUAAAGUGAAGUUUGACGUAUCUAGGCCACUUAGGAGAGCGAAGAAAGUUACUACACCAGGGGGAGAGGACGUCAACAUCCUUUAUGAUUAUGAGAGGAUCCAAAAGAGGUGUUACACUUGCCAGAGGUUAACACAUGAGCAAUCAAAGUGCCCUAUUGAGAGGGCUGCGAAAAACCAAGACAUUGGGGCUUCUCAGCAAAAGAUGCAAGUUAUCCUACCGAGCAUCGAUACCAAUGAUCCGCUUUUCGGUCUAGUUCCUCCUAAACUCCUGGGUGCAGACCCCCUCACUGGCAAACCUAAAAUUGCUGAGGAAGUGCUAGAAGAUAUGCGAAUCUACAUCAAGACGGCGAAUGGUCCGGAGAAGCUGGCGAGGGCAGAAAGAGUUAAAAGUUCGCUGCGUGAAUUACAAGAUGAUGUGUUGGGUCAAAAGGCGUUCCUAAGCUUACAACCUUUGCCAGUUGUUUCUGAUGACCUCGACAAAGGGAAAGGGAUUGUUUUCGACUUCUCAGCCAAAUCUGAUAAAAUACCACCAGGAGAGAAGCUAAUGGCUGGAGCUAUUUCCGCGGGUAACAGAGUGUUACAGUCAGGCAAGAUCCUUAGCCAACCAUUGAGACUGGAAGGGUGUGCGGAUUCUGCUCGACCUGCGUCUUUACAGGAAAGUUCAACGGGUUAUAGCAUUGGUUUUCAUGAAACCUCUGCUUCCGGGACUUCCCUCAAAAGGACUUACAAGAGAAGAAGACCUGGUACGUUUACAAGAAAAGCUAAUGGGAAAGGUCUUGCGAAGCAAUCAUCCACACCAGGGAAGAAAGUAGGAGAAGGUGUGAUGUCUGAGACAAAGAGGAAAGCUAAUGACGAUGUCGAGCCAUCUCAAAGCUCUGCAAGGUUUAAGAAACCAUUGGUGGUCCCAAAUGAGGGACCGUCCAACAUCUAAUGGCGUUCGUGAGCUGGAAUUGCCAGGGCUUGGGCCGUGCACAAGACUUGGUGAUUCCGAGACUGCGGGAAAUGAGACGAGAACAUUUCCCAGAUAUUAUUUUUCUUAUGGAGACAAAACAAGGUAGAGAUGAGCUGGUGGAUCUUCAGGUACUGUUGGGGUACGAUAGGAUUAUGACUGUGAAUCCUAUUGGUUACAGUGGGGGGUUGGCGUUACUAUGGAAGAAUUCUGUAAAUAUUUCGUUUAAGCAUGUAGAUAACCACUUGGUUGAUCUUGAGGUUCAGAUGGGUGGUGAAAAUUUUUUCAUGUCAUGCAUAUAUGGAGAACCUGUCAGGAAGAAUAGGCCAAAGUUAUGGGAGAGGCUUUCUCGCAUAGGAGCUCACCGUAAAGAAGCCUGGUGCAUGAUAGGAGAUUUCAACGAAAUAAGGAACAAUGAUGAAAAGCUUGGAGGGCCUCGGCGGAGUGACAAGUCCCUUGAACCCUUCAAUGAUAUGUUAUCAGUGUGCGAGAUGGCGGAACUGCAAGCGUCUGGAAACAACUUGACAUGGGGAGGCUUGAGAUGGCUUAAAUGGAUCCAGAGCAGGCUUGAUAGGUGCUUUGGAAACAAACAAUGGUUCAGAUCCUUCCCGGCAUCAAAUCAGAGUUUUCUUGACAUGAGAGGGUCGGAUCAUAGACCGGUGCUGGUCAAGUUGUUGGAAUCUAUGGAAUCCUACAGAGGAAGCUUCAAAUUUGAUAGUAGAUUCCUGAACAAGCCUGGAGUCAAGGAAGAAAUUAAGAAGGCGUGGCUGACUAAUCAUAAGUUUUUUGGUUCAUCGGUAUCAGACAAACUCAAGCAAUGCCGCAAGUCCUUGAGUAGAUGGAAGAAGAAUUUCAACCUUAACUCCAGGGAUAAACUGGUGCAGAUUCAAAUAGCCCUGGAAGCAGAACAAUCAUCUAGUUUCCCGUCUGGAGUAAGAGUGAACUACCUGAAAACUGAGUUGAUCAAGUCAUACAGAGAGGAAGAGAAGUAUUGGAAGCAGAGGAACAAGGACAAAUGGGCCACUAAAGGUGAUCUCAAUACCAGAUAUUAUCAUGCUUCAGUCAAAGCGAACAGAAAUAGGAAGAGAAUUGAGAAGCUGAUGGAUGAGAAAGGACAGCUACAAUUUUCUGAAGCUGCGAAGGCUCAGGUUGCUACAGACUACUUCAAUAAAUUGUUCAAGGCAGGGGAGGUUGGGAAUUAUGAUCAUCUCUUUGAAGGUUUCACUGCGAAGGUCUCCGUAACUAUGAAUGAUUUGUUGACAAGGGAGGUUACUAAUGAAGAGGUAAGAGACGCGGUGUUUUCUAUCAAUCCAGCAAGUGCACCGGGGCCAGACGGAAUGUCAGGUUUGUUCUUCCAAAAAUAUUGGGGAACGGUUGGAGCCCAGGUAACAGAAGAAGUGAAGAAAUUCUUCCUACAUGGGGUGUUCCCCAAGGAAUGGAAUUACACUCAUUUAUGCCUUCUUCCUAAGAUAACUGAUCCAAUUUUGAUGACUGAUCUCCGUCCAAUCAGCUUGUGCUCGGUCCUGUACAAGAUGAUAUCGAAGAUAAUGGUGAACAGGCUUAAACCUAUGCUUCCGGAUUUAGUAUCUGCAACGCAGUCAGCGUUUGUCGAAGAACGGCUUAUCACUGAUAACAUUCUCAUUGCCCAUGAGAUGGUGCAUGCGCUGAGAACCAAUGAUAAUUUCUCUAGAGAUUUCAUGGCUAUCAAAUCAGAUAUGUCCAAGGCCUACGAUCGGGUGGAAUGGAAUUAUUUGAAGGCACUGUUGAGGGCUUUGGGUUUCGCUGAGGUAUGGAUAGAGAGGGUUAUGUUCUGCGUGUCAUCGGUCACAUUCUCCACACUGAUUAAUAAUCAAGCUUUUGGGUGCAUCCAACCAGAGAGAGGGCUCAGGCAGGGUGACCCGAUGUCUCCAUUCCUCUUUAUUUUGUGUACAGAGGGCUUGAUUCACAUGUUAAACACGGCAGCUAGGAAUGAUAAGAUUCAGGGCAUCAGAUUUGAUGAAGAAGGUCCAAUGAUUCAUCACAUGUUAUUCGCUGAUGACAGUUUGCUAAUCUGUAGAGCGAAUCAGGACCAAGCUGCAGAGUUGAUGAGAAUCCUUAAGGUGUAUGAGAAAGCGACUGGUCAACAAGUGAGUAUAGCUAAGUCCGCCAUUACUUUUGGAUCCAAGGUGCACGAGGAUGUUAGAAAUGUGAUCAAAAGAGUUACCGGAAUCCAGAAGGAAGGUGGUUCAGGGUCCUACUUAGGAUUGCCUGAAUGCUUUAGUGGGUCCAAGACGGAAAUGCUGGCGUACAUCUAUGACAGGCUAAAGGAUAGGCUAUCAGGAUGGUUCAUGAAACAGUUGUCGUUAGGAGGGAAGGAAAUUCUAAUCAAGGCUGUGGCCAUGGCUAUGCCGAUCUAUGCCAUGUCCUGUUUUAAAUUGACAAAGACGUCCUGUGAUAACUUGACAAGAGCAAUGGCAGAUUUCUGGUGGAAUUCGUUAGAGCACAAGAGGAAGUUGCACUGGCUGAGUUGGUCGAAAUUAUCUCUGGCAAAGGAUCAAGGGGGUUUGGGCUUUAAGGACAUCCAAAGCUUCAAUCAAUCGUUACUGGCCAAACAGGCGUGGAGGAUUCUCAACGAGCCGGAAUCUCUUUUUGCCAAAGUUUUCAAGAGCCGCUACUUCCCUUCCAGUGACUUCUUAGCUGCCUCAAACGGGCCUAGACCCUCCUAUGCUUGGCGGAGCAUUCAGUUUGGCAAGGAAUUACUGGUUAUGGGAAUAAAAAAGAAGAUUGGCAAUGGUAAGACAGUGUCUGUGUGGGUCGAUGCUUGGAUUGAAGGUGAAGUGAUGAGGAGACCUUUAAUGAAAAACAUUUUUGUCGACCUUUUGCUCUGCGUGGAUAAGCUGAUUGACGAGGAAAAUAGAUGCUGGAAUUUAAAUAUCCUUCACGAUCUGUUCUUUGAGGAAGACGUCGCAAGGAUAAUGGCAAUGAAACCUGUCUUUGAAGGAGAUGAUUUCUGGGUGUGGCAGCAUAACAAGCAUGGUAGUUACUCGGUUAAAUCGGGGUAUUGGCUAAAAAACAGAAUGGCGAGGGAGGAAGAGAUCAGAGAAGCCGAAGCCCUGCCCUCUCUAAAUGAGUUGAAGACUGCAGCGUGGAAACUCAAGACUCCUCCUAAGAUUAAAACUUUCCUAUGGAGAGCCUUGAGCAAUGCGAUUUCUGUUGGUGAACUGCUUGUGAAGAGGGGCAUCAGGUUGGACCCGUGUUGUCAAGCCUGCGGGUUCCAAGGAGAGUCAAUCAAUCAUAUCCUUUUCACAUGUCAUGUUGCGCGCCAAGUUUGGGCUUUGGCGAAUGUUCCUUCUCCCCCUGGUGGCUUUGAAUUGACUUCUCACUAUGCCAACAUUCAUCACCUAUUCUCAUUGGGGUCUAACAAAUCAAUCCCAAGCAAGGUACGUAAUGCGCUACCAUGGAUCACUUGGUUUCUUUGGAAGAACAGGAACAAUCUGAUGUUUGAAGGAAAACAAGCGGGUUUGUUUGAGCUGGUAGAAAAAUGUUUUGUGGAGUCGGAGAUGUGGAGUUUAGCGCAAAUGGAGGAGCAAAAGGAGGACGCUGAAGAACGAGGUAAUGGCACGGCUUGCCACAAAAGAUGGGUUCCUCCUCCGAAGGGUUGGUUAAAAUGUAACAUUGGCGUCGAUUGGAUGAAAGGCAUUUGUUUGGCUGGAGGAGCUUGGGUCUUAAGGGAUGAGAAAGGCAAGGUGAUUCUUCAUGGGAGAAGGGCAUUUUCUGAGAUUGGUAGCCUUCAUGAUGCAAAACUGCAAGUCUUGGUUUGGUCAGUGGAAAGUAUCAUAUCUCAUCACCAAAACAAGGUGAUAUUUGCUUUAGACGAUGGCGACAUAACUCAAAUGGUUCUUAGACCUAAAGCCUGGCCAAACUUCAAAGGAGAGAUAGGGCUUAUUAUGGGUAAAUUAUGUGGUCUUGAAUGGUGGAGAUUGGUGAAGGAAGAUAGAGCAAACAACAGAGGAGCUCUCCUCAUUGCUAAAGGAGUAACCAAAGGAGGACAGACACAGUCAUAUGUGGCAGCAGGACCUCCUGCGUGGCUUCUAGGUUGCUUUGAAAAUGAGGAAGUAUCAUCCUCUGUUUAGGUGCUUGGGUAGGUUUUUUUUUUUGGAGGUAUUUUUUGGAUGGGGUAUAGUAACUGGCUUGUGGAGCAGUUCUUGUAGGGGAGAUUGUUGUAUUCCCAUAGGUAGUGUCUGCCAUUGUUGGCUUUUCAUAUCUAAUAUGUAAGGAUAAACCUUGAAGUAACAUCCAAUAUAUUCUAACAGAUGACAAAAAAAAAAACGUUGCCUGCUUCAGUGUCAUUGGUCUAUGUGAUCUUAUUGCUAGUCUUUCAAGACAUAUUCAAGGUUCCAUUUACCACUGAUUGCAUACUUAUAGCAAAAAAAAAUAGUUAUGUCUGAAAAUAUCGGAUGUAGUUGUAAUGCUUUUAUUUCCUUAGAAGUAGUAAAAGAGUCUGAUCUUUAAGACCAUACAAAAUAUUUGAUGUCUUCAUUUACGAGUUUUUUCUAUCUUUUUUGACACAUGGCAACAUAAUGGUGAACUUGGGGCAAUGAAACAGUUUGUAUGUACGUCGCCAUUGCAACUUGACAGAGUUCUGCCAUUUUAACUUAAUGUGAAAAAAAUAAACAUAUUACUACAAUAGUUUGCAUGUGACUUUACAGAAAGACACAGAACAUCAAGCUGAGAGAGAUGGUAAUUUAUGACAUUUUACCACUCAAUAACCGACAAAUUCGCAAGACUUACGAUGUUGAAGUCACUGCCCAAAUGUCACUCUACGACAGAAACAAUCUUCUUUGAAAGAAAGUCUUCUUAUAGAGACAAAGACCACCACUAUAUUAACUUGCCUCUCGUACACGAUAUCUUCCAAAGAGACCACCACUAUAUUAACUUGCCUCUCGUACACGAUAACUUUCCAAAGAGAAACAACAAAGAAAAACUGGAACCUGGUCUUUUUCACUUAGUAGCUAUGGUGGUUCUACUGAACUCACGUCCUUGUUUUGUUGUUCUUAUUCUUCUUGCAGCAUUCUCUUGCUUCUCUCCGAGACUAUGUUUCGGCGAAGACAGAAUCACGUUCUCAACUCCGAUCAAAGACUUAGAGUCAAAGACACUUCUCUGCAAAAGUGGUGUGUUCAGGUUUGGUUUCUUCACUCCUGUAAACUCAACUGGUCGGUUACGUUACGUUGGGAUUUGGUACGACAAGAUUCCAGUUCAAACUGUGGUUUGGGUCGCCAACAGGGACGCUCCCAUCAACGACACUUCCGGUGUUGUUUCCAUCUCUGACGACGGAAACCUCGUGGUCACGGAUGGUCGAAACAGCCUUCUAUGGUCCACCAACGUCACAGUCCUAGUAGCUCCAAAUGCCACUUGGGUUCAGCUAAUGGAAAAUGGGAAUCUUAGGUUACAAGACAACAGAAACAACGGUGAGAUUCUGUGGGAGAGUUUCAAGCAUCCCUAUAGUUCUAUGUUGCCAAGAAUGAGUCUUGGGCUUAACAAUGGAACCGGAGAGAAUACAGGGCUUACUUCUUGGAGAAGCUAUACAGAUCCAUCAACAGGGAACUAUACAGUUGGCCUUGUCGCUUUCCCGUUUCCCGAGCUUCUAAUCUGGAAGAACAAGGUUCCACAGUGGCGUAGCGGUCCCUGGAACGGUCAGGUUUUCAUCGGUUUACCGGAUAUGGAUUCCCUUCUGAACAUUGAUGGGUUUAACCUCAAUAAUGAUAACCAAGGAACGGUUUUACUGACCUUUGCUAAUGACUCUUUCUUGUAUCACUUCAACUUGGAUCCUAAUGGAGCUAUAUACCAGAGAGAUUGGAGUACUUCUAUGAAUGAUUGGAGAGUUGGUGUCAGGUUCCCAUCUACAGAUUGUGAUGAAUACAAUAGAUGUGGUCCAUAUGGGAGCUGCAAUUACCGGGAAGACCCACAGUGUAAAUGCAUAAAAGGGUUUGUGCCUAGGAACAACACUGAGUGGAGUUUAGGAAACUGGAUUAGUGGAUGUGUGAGAAGAGCUCCACUACGGUGCGAAAGAGUCAAGAAUGGAAGUAGUAAUGGAGGAAAAGAAGAUUGGUUUUUGAAAGUGCAGAAGAUGAAAGUACCAGUGAAUGUGCAACCAUCUUUAGCUAAUGCGCAAGCUUGUCCUAAGGUUUGUUUAGAUAACUGUUCUUGCACAGCUUAUGCAUAUGAUCAAGGCAUUGGAUGCAUGCUUUGGAGUGGUAACUUAGUUGAUAUGCAAUCUUUCUUGGGAAGUGGCAUUGAUCUUUAUAUUCGGCUUUCACAUUCUGAACUCAGUGAGUAAAAGAAACUUUAGUAGUCUCACCUUUCUUAUUAUUCAUUGACUAAUGACAUCUCACCAAAAUCUUGUAGAAGCACACAGCAAAAGAGCAGUAAUGAUCACAGCACUUGUGCUAGGCAUUGUGUUUGUUUCUGCGGUCUGUGUUCUUUUAGCAUGCCUGAAACUCAAAAAGCGUCCAGGUUAGAGUGUUCUUUACUCUUGCUUGAGAUUUUUCCUUUUAUAAUAAUUUGUUUGCUUCUUAAAUCAUUGCCUUAGGAGAACCAAAGAAAGAUAGAAGUGUAGAGCAGUUGUUAAAGAGAAUGGAAGAAGUUAACAGUGGUGAUGAGGCUGCUUCUAACCAAGUUAAGCUAGAGGAGCUUCCGCUCUUUGAGUUCCAAGUGUUAGCUACAGCAACUGAUGACUUCUCUCUCAGAAGCAAGCUCGGACAAGGCGGAUUUGGUCCUGUUUACAAGGUAAAGGCACUAAACAAAACACUUUCUGAAAAGAGAUUUUUCUAUACAAUCUCAUAUCAAUAUUUUUUUUUUCUUCAGGGAAAGUUACCUGAAGGGCAAGAAAUAGCAGUGAAGAGGCUCUCAAGGGCAUCAGGACAAGGACUUGAGGAGCUUAUGAACGAAGUGGUUGUGAUCUCCAAGUUGCAACAUAGGAAUCUGGUGAAGUUACUUGGCUGUUGCAUCGAAGGUGAAGAAAGGUUGCUAGUCUACGAGUAUAUGCCAAACAAAAGCUUGGAUGCCUAUCUAUUUGGUAAAAUGAUCUCCUCUCUUUCGUUCUUACUUAGGAAAGCUAAUGAUUUUGUAAGCUCUUUCUUUAGACCCUUUGAAGCAAAAGAUUCUUGACUGGAAGACACGGUUGAACAUAAUGGAAGGAAUAUGCAGGGGUCUUCUGUACCUUCACAGAGAUUCAAGACUAAGGAUCAUACACAGAGAUCUAAAAGCCAGCAACAUUUUGUUAGAUGACAACCUGAAUCCCAAAAUAUCUGAUUUUGGGCUUGCAAGAGUUUUCCGAGCAAAUGAAGAUGAAGCUAACACAAGAAGGGUUGUAGGAAC